CCCUUAGAUGUCCUGGGCCGCACGCGCGCUACACUGACAUGUUCAACAAGCCUCCUAGUUCGACAGGAUUUGGGAAAUCUUUGAACGCAUGUCGUGAUAGGGAUAGAUCAUUGCAAUUAUUGAUCUUGAACGAGGAAUUCCUAGUAAACGCGAGUCAUCAGCUCGCAUUGAUUACGUCCCUGCCCUUUGUACACACCGCUCGUCGCACCUACCGAUUGAAUGUUUCGGUGAAGAUUCCGGAUAGGACUUUUUUGAUUUAUUUCAAUUUUGUCUUAAAAGCUAUCUAAACCUCAACAUUUAGAGGAAGGUGAAGUCGUAACA
This 321-nucleotide ribosomal RNA is filed under the name uncultured eukaryote. RNAcentral's name for it is "partial 18S ribosomal RNA". It matches the Rfam family "Eukaryotic small subunit ribosomal RNA", at positions 1470 to 1796 of the family's 1831-position model. The record is from RNAcentral.